CCGCUAUUGGAGUUCGAUUAAGCCAUGCGAGUCGCGAGAAAUUAGAUUCUCGGCGUACCGCUCAGUAACACGUGGGUAACCUGCCCUAUGCUGGAUAAUAACCUCGGGAAACUGAGUAUAAUGAUCCAUAGUUCACUACGCCUGGAACGGUGAGUGGAUGAAAGCUCCGGCGGCAUAGGAUGGGCCUGCGGCGUAUCAGGUAGUAGGGGGUGUAACGUACCCUCUAGCCCUCUACGCGUACGGGUGUUGGGAGACAUAGCCCGGAGAUGGAUUCUGAGACACGAAUCCAGACCCUACGGGGUGCAGCAGGCGCGAAAACUUGGCAACGCGAGAAAUCGUGACCAGGGAACUCCAAGUGCAUCGGGUAAGACCGGUGCUUUUCUUGACUCUAAAUAGGUCUUGGAAUAAGGGGUGGGUAAGGACGGUGCCAGCCGCCGCGGUAAUACCGGCGCCUCAAGUGGUAGUCGCUUUUAUUGGGCCUAAAACGUCCGUAGCCGGCCUGAUACAUUCGUGGGUAAAUCAACCAGCUCAACUGGUUGAAUUCUGCGAGGACGGUCAGACUUGGGACCGGGAGAGGUGUGGGGUACGCUCAGGGUAGGGGUAAAAUCCUGUCAUCCUGAGCGGACCACCUGUUGCGAAGGCGCCACACUAGAACGGAUCCGACGGUCAGGGACGAAGCCUAGGGGCACGAACCGGAUUAGAUACCCGGGUAGUCCUAGGUGUAAACGCUGUGGACUUGAUGUUGGGGGUGCUCCGAGCACUCUCAGUGUCGAAGCGAAGGUGAUAAGUCCACUGCCUGGGAAGUACGGUCGCAAGGCUGAAACUUAAAGGAAUUGGCGGGGGAGCACCGCAACCUGAGGAUUGUGCGG
Molecule: ribosomal RNA, 869 nt
Filed under: uncultured archaeon
Lineage: Archaea
Description: bacterial SSU rRNA
Rfam family: Archaeal small subunit ribosomal RNA
Source: RNAcentral